GUGAAAAGUCUCUCAUCCUCCCUAGUCUCCGAGUGAGCGUUGAGAAAAAGACAGGCGGGGAAAAGGAGGGGGGAGAGAGAAACAAAGCGGGAAAAGGUUGUCUGUUACCUCCUACAAGGUGCUGAGAGGAAAUUUCACGGCUGUUUAUCCAUUUGCUGAACUCCCAUCUUCCAUAACCUGUGGCAAAUUGCCAAAAGCCCCAGAAAUGACUAGAGACUGUAGUCAAUUUCCCGAAGUUGAUCCCCAUGAAGUCAGCCCCUCCAGGAGUCUUGGUGAAUGAAAAAACAGAGCCAACAUCUG
Coregonus clupeaformis (lake whitefish) is the source of this 300-nucleotide long non-coding RNA. RefSeq lists it as uncharacterized. The record is from RefSeq and is a predicted model, not a curated record. Lineage: Eukaryota; Metazoa; Chordata; Actinopteri; Salmoniformes; Salmonidae. The transcript has 2 exons.